CCUACGGGGGGCAGCAGUGAGGAAUAUUGGUCAAUGGGCGGGAGCCUGAACCAGCCAAGUCGCGUGAGGGAAGACGGUCCUACGGAUUGUAAACCUCUUUUGCCGGGGAGCAACGGGGUCCUUGCGAGGUCCCAAUGAGAGUACCCGGAGAAAAAGCAUCGGCUAACUCCGUGCCAGCAGCCGCGGUAAUACGGAGGAUGCGAGCGUUAUCCGGAUUUACUGGGCGUAAAGGGAGCGUAGGCGGCCUGCCAAGUCUGAUGUGAAAUACCGGGGCUCAACCCCGGGGCUGCAUUGGAAACUGGCAG
Molecule: ribosomal RNA, 305 nt
Filed under: uncultured bacterium
Lineage: Bacteria
Description: bacterial SSU rRNA
Rfam family: Bacterial small subunit ribosomal RNA
Source: RNAcentral